Molecule: small nuclear RNA, 104 nt
Filed under: Salvator merianae (Argentine black and white tegu)
Lineage: Eukaryota; Metazoa; Chordata; Lepidosauria; Squamata; Teiidae
Description: U5 spliceosomal RNA (ENSSMRG00000013377.1)
Rfam family: U5 spliceosomal RNA
About the family: U5 RNA is a component of both types of known spliceosome. The precise function of this molecule is unknown, though it is known that the 5' loop is required for splice site selection and p220 binding, and that both the 3' stem-loop and the Sm site are important for Sm protein binding and cap methylation.
Source: Rfam by way of RNAcentral
AUAUUUUGGUUUCUCUUCAGAUCUUAUUAAACUUUCACCUUUCACAAAAGAUUUCUGUGAAGAGGAAUAUUUUUUAUUCGUAACCAAUUUUUUGAGGCCUUGCU